UUCGUGGUGCUCAAUGAUGCAGAGGAGAAGCAACUUGUGAACCCUGCUGUGAGAGAGUGGCUUAACGAGCUCAAGCAUGCUGUCUUUGAUGCAGAGGACUUACUGGAUGAGAUCGACACUGAAGCUUUGCGACGCAAGCUGAAAGGUGAGGAUCAAACCCACAAAUUAACCAAUAAGGUGUGGAACUUACUCCCUUCUUCUCGUAAUCAUUUUUAUCAAAGCAUGAAUGUUAAGAUACAAGAGUUGUUGCAAAGAUUAGAAAACUUCGUACAACAGAAAAUUGCUCUUGGUCUGGGAGAAGUUGCUAGGAGGAAGGUUUCACAUAGAACUCCAACAACUUCCUUGGUUCAUGAACCUUGUGUAUAUGGUAGAGAUGAAGUCCAAGAAAAUUUAUCAAAAGUGUUGCUAUCUGAUGAUGCAAGCAAGGAUGAUGUGUCUGUCCUCACCAUUGUUGGAAUGGGUGGGGUUGGCAAGACAACCCUUGCUCGAAUGCUUUACAACAACAAUAAGGUGAAAGGGCAUUUUACACUUCAAGCUUGGGCUUGUGUUUCAGAAGACUAUAAUGCUUUUAGAAUAACUAAAACUAUUCUUGAGUCAGUCACUUCAAAGCCUUGUAAUACGACGGAUCUGAAUUUGCUUCAAGUUGAAUUAAGAGAGCAGUUGAGGGGAAAGAAAUUUUUAUUUGUGUUGGAUGAUCUAUGGAAUGAAAAUUAUGGUGAUUGGGAGCGCCUCCAAACUCCUUUUAAUUCAGGGGCCAGGGGAAGCAAAGUCAUUAUAACAACACGGAACAAAAAUGUAGCAUCUUUAAUGAAAAAUGUUCCCAUUCAAUUCUUGGAACCAUUGUCGCAUGAAGAUUGCUGGUUGUUACUUGCGAAACAUGCGUUUGGAAAUGUAAACUGUAGUGAACAUCCAAGCUUGGAAGAAAUCGGCAUGAAAAUUGCACGCAAGUGCAAAGGGUUGCCUUUAGCUGCACAAACACUUGGGGGUUUGUUACGUUGCAAUAUAGAUUCUGAGGAGUGGAAUAGAAUACUAAAUAGUAAUAUUUGGUACCUACCCCAUGGUACAACUGACAUUCUUCCAGCUCUAUGGUUGAGUUAUCAUUAUCUCCCCGCUCAGUUAAAACGAUGCUUUGUUUAUUGUUCAGUUUUUCCAAAGGAUUAUGAGUUUGAAAAGGAAGAUGUAGUUCAAUUAUGGAUGGCAGAAGGCUUAGUUACUCAAGUUGAUAGUGGGAUGAUUAUGGAAUCAAUGGCUAGAAAAUACUUUGAUGAGCUAUUAUCUCGGUCACUGUUUCAAAAGUCAAGAGAACUCAGUUUCACAAUGCAUGACCUCAUUCAUGACUUGGCUAUGUUCAUCUCUAAGGGGUUUUGCCUUAGGCUGGAAGGGGUGGAAUCGCGUGAAGUUAAAAGAGCUCGUCAUUUGUCAUAUGCUAGGGGAGAAUUUGAUGUUGCUUCAAAAUUUGAGCCAUUAUAUGGGGCUAAGUGUUUGAGGACCUUCCUACCUACCUCUUUAAAACAAAAUGAAUACUAUGAAGAAUUUUAUGUAAGUAAAAAGGUUCUACAACAUUUAUUGCCAUCACUAAGAUGUUUACGAGUGCUAUCAUUGUCACGUUAUCAAAAUGUCACUGAGUUACCUGAUUCUAUUGGAAACCUCAUUCACUUGCGCUACUUGGAUCUUUCCCAUACUGCAAUUGAAAGGUUACCUGGGGUACUUUGCAAUCUCUACAACUUGCAGACGUUACUGUUGUCAAAUUGUUCCUCUCUCCUUGAAUUGCCUGCAGACAUCAGAAAAUUGAUUAAUUUACAAAAAUUAACGUUGGCAAGUUGUAGCUCUCUUACUAAAUUGCCUGCAGGAAUGGAGGAGUUGAUUAAUUUGCAUCAUCUUGAUGUCAGUGGAACUAAAAUUGAAGAGAUGCCUGUGCAAAUGGGAAGGCUGAAAAGUUUGAGACAAUUGUCUGCUUUUGUUGUGGGCAGAUCUGCUGGGUCAAGCAUAGGAGAGCUGAGGGAGUUCCCGCAGCUUCAAGGAAAACUUGCAAUUUUUAAGCUACAAAAUGUAGAUGAUGCUAGGGAUGCAUUGCAAGCCAAUUUGAAGGACAAGAAAGAUCUCAAGGAGUUAGAGUUGGCAUGGGGUGCAGAGGAUGCUGAUGAUUCCCAAAAGGAGAAAGAUGUACUUGACAAGCUCCAUCCUUGCAUGAAUAUAGAGACACUAACCAUUCGAUUCUAUGGUGGAACCAACUUCCCGAAUUGGUUAGGAGACUCGUCCUUCUCUAAUUUACAAGUCAUGCAUCUGAGUGAUUGUAGUUAUUGUUGGUCACUGCCACCAGUUGGGCGUCUACCCUAUCUCAAAGAGCUCUAUAUAGAAAGAAUGAAGUCUGUUAAGAUGAUUGGCGUGGAAUUCUAUGGCAGAAAUGGAGCUUCUCUUAUUCAGCCAUUUCAAUCACUGGAGAAGCUAAAGUUUAUGGAGAUGGCAGAGUGGGAGGAAUGGGUACCAAGUGCAAGUGGAGGCGAAUAUGGUCCAGAUUUCCCACGUCUCCUAGAGCUGAUUCUAACCAACUGUCCGAAGCUGAGCAGAAGCUUGCCUUGUCAUCUGCCUUGCUUGAAGAAGCUUACGGUGUGUGGGUGUGAGGUUUUACAUGAUGAAGGGGCCAAUACUACAACAACCAGUGGUCUUAACUACAGAUCUCUUGAAGAGUUGGAAAUAGAAGGUGGAUGCCAAAAGGGUCUGUUAUCAUUACUCGUGGAAAUUGGAAAUUUCGUUGACAUACAAUGCUUGCCCAAUCGCAAUUGUCUUCAACGUUUGAGUCUCUGGAAUUGUCCAACGCUGUCUUCGUUCCCUAAAGAUGGGUUACCCACUACAUUGACAACACUUUAUAUAGGGAACUGUAAGAGAUUAGAAUUCCUACCUGACGAGAUGUUGGCCAAAUUAACAUCGCUCGAAUCCUUGUGGAUAGGGGAUAGCUGUGAUUCACUAAGGAACUUCCGGGUGAGCAUUUUUCCCAAAUUGAAGAAGCUUGACAUUAGGGGUAGUGAGAAUCUGGA
This 3035-nucleotide long non-coding RNA is filed under the name Prunus persica (peach). Its description in RNAcentral is "long non-coding RNA (PPER_LNC001934)". Lineage: Eukaryota; Viridiplantae; Streptophyta; Magnoliopsida; Rosales; Rosaceae. The record is from RNAcentral.